Molecule: ribosomal RNA, 498 nt
Filed under: uncultured bacterium
Lineage: Bacteria
Description: partial 16S ribosomal RNA
Rfam family: Bacterial small subunit ribosomal RNA
Source: RNAcentral
GAUGAACGCUAGCGGCAGGCCUAAUACAUGCAAGUCGAGGGAGAAUGUUGGAUUCGUCUGACAUGAAACCGGCGCACGGGUGCGUAACACGUAUGCAACCUACCUUUAACUGGGGUAUAGCUCAGAGAAAUCUGAAUUAAUCCCCCAUAAGACUACGACAUGGCAUCAUGAUGUAGUUAAAGCUCCGGCGGUUAAGGACGGGCAUGCGGUACAUUAGCUAGUUGGUGAGGUAAUGGCUGACCAAGGCUACGAUGUAUAGGGGGUCUGAGAGGAUGGUCCCCCACACUGGUACUGAGACACGGACCAGACUCCUACGGGAGGCAGCAGUAGGGAAUAUUGGUCAAUGGACGCAAGUCUGAACCAGCCAUGCCGCGUGAAGGAUGAAGGCCCUAUGGGUCGUAAACUUCUUUUAUUAGGGAAGAAAAAACGGGAUGCGUCCUGUACUGACGGUACUUAAUGAAUAAGGAUCGGCUAACUUCGUGCCAGCAGCCGCCGUAA